CUGAGCAUAGCUUAGUGGUUUGAGCAUAAGACUACAACUCUGGAGACCAAGGUUUGAUUCCUUGUUCAGC
Molecule: non-coding RNA, 70 nt
Organism: Phrynosoma platyrhinos (Desert horned lizard)
Lineage: Eukaryota; Metazoa; Chordata; Lepidosauria; Squamata; Phrynosomatidae
Source: the annotation of a GenBank genome assembly